GACGAACGCUGGCGGCGUGCUUAACACAUGCAAGUCGAACGAAGAGCGACGGAAGCUUGCUUCUAUCAAUCUUAGUGGCGAACGGGUGAGUAACGCGUAAUCAACCUGCCCUUCAGAGGGGGACAACAGUUGGAAACGACUGCUAAUACCGCAUACGAUCUAAUCUCGGCAUCGAGGAUGGAUGAAAGGUGGCCUCUACAUGUAAGCUAUCACUGAAGGAGGGGAUUGCGUCUGAUUAGCUAGUUGGAGGGGUAACGGCCCACCAAGGCGAUGAUCAGUAGCCGGUCUGAGAGGAUGAACGGCCACAUUGAGACUGAGACACGGCCCAGACUCCUACGGGAGGCAGCAGUGGGGAAUCUUCCGCAAUGGACGAAAGUCUGACGGAGCAACGCCGCGUGAGUGAUGACGGCCUUCGGGUUGUAAAGCUCUGUUAAUCGGGACGAAAGGCCUUCUUGCGAAUAGUGAGAAGGAUUGACGGUACCGGAAUAGAAAGCCACGGCUAACUACGUG
RNAcentral lists this ribosomal RNA (510 nucleotides) under uncultured bacterium. RNAcentral describes it as "partial 16S ribosomal RNA". It matches the Rfam family "Bacterial small subunit ribosomal RNA", at positions 28 to 507 of the family's 1533-position model. The record is from RNAcentral.